Molecule: ribosomal RNA, 102 nt
Filed under: uncultured bacterium
Lineage: Bacteria
Description: partial 16S ribosomal RNA
Source: RNAcentral
UGAAGGCCUCUGGGUUGUAAACUUCUUUUAUCUGGGACGAAAAACAGGAAUUCUUUCUUGCUCGACGGUACCAGAGGAAUAAGCACCGGCUAACUCCCGUGC